Molecule: ribosomal RNA, 1442 nt
Filed under: uncultured bacterium
Lineage: Bacteria
Description: bacterial SSU rRNA
Rfam family: Bacterial small subunit ribosomal RNA
Source: RNAcentral
AUCUACAGGCUUAACACAUGCAAGUCGAGGGGCAGCAUGGUCUUAUCUUGCUAAGGCCGAUGGCGACCGGCGCACGGGUGAGUAACACGUAUCCAACCUGCCGUCUACUCUUGGACAGCCUUCUGAAAGGAAGAUUAAUACAAGAUGGCAUCAUGAGUCCGCAUGUUCACAUGAUUAAAGGUAUUCCGGUAGACGAUGGGGAUGCGUUCCAUUAGAUAGUAGGCGGGGUAACGGCCCACCUAGUCUUCGAUGGAUAGGGGUUCUGAGAGGAAGGUCCCCCACAUUGGAACUGAGACACGGUCCAAACUCCUACGGGAGGCAGCAGUGAGGAAUAUUGGUCAAUGGGCGAGAGCCUGAACCAGCCAAGUAGCGUGAAGGAUGACUGCCCUAUGGGUUGUAAACUUCUUUUAUAAAGGAAUAAAGUCGGGUAUGGAUACCCGUUUGCAUGUACUUUAUGAAUAAGGAUCGGCUAACUCCGUGCCAGCAGCCGCGGUAAUACGGAGGAUCCGAGCGUUAUCCGGAUUUAUUGGGUUUAAAGGGAGCGUAGAUGGAUGUUUAAGUCAGUUGUGAAAGUUUGCGGCUCAACCGUAAAAUUGCAGUUGAUACUGGAUAUCUUGAGUGCAGUUGAGGCAGGCGGAAUUCGUGGUGUAGCGGUGAAAUGCUUAGAUAUCACGAAGAACUCCGAUUGCGAAGGCAGCCUGCUAAGCUGCAACUGACAUUGAGGCUCGAAAGUGUGGGUAUCAAACAGGAUUAGAUACCCUGGUAGUCCACACGGUAAACGAUGAAUACUCGCUGUUUGCGAUAUACUGCAAGCGGCCAAGCGAAAGCGUUAAGUAUUCCACCUGGGGAGUACGCCGGCAACGGUGAAACUCAAAGGAAUUGACGGGGGCCCGCACAAGCGGAGGAACAUGUGGUUUAAUUCGAUGAUACGCGAGGAACCUUACCCGGGCUUAAAUUGCAGAUGAAUUACGGUGAAAGCCGUAAGCCGCAAGGCAUCUGUGAAGGUGCUGCAUGGUUGUCGUCAGCUCGUGCCGUGAGGUGUCGGCUUAAGUGCCAUAACGAGCGCAACCCUUGUUGUCAGUUACUAACAGGUUCCGCUGAGGACUCUGACAAGACUGCCAUCGUAAGAUGUGAGGAAGGUGGGGAUGACGUCAAAUCAGCACGGCCCUUACGUCCGGGGCUACACACGUGUUACAAUGGGGGGUACAGAGGGCCGCUACCACGCGAGUGGAUGCCAAUCCCCAAAACCUCUCUCAGUUCGGACUGGAGUCUGCAACCCGACUCCACGAAGCUGGAUUCGCUAGUAAUCGCGCAUCAGCCACGGCGCGGUGAAUACGUUCCCGGGCCUUGUACACACCGCCCGUCAAGCCAUGGGAGCCGGGGGUACCUGAAGUGCGUAACCGCGAGGAGCACCCUAGGGUAAAACUGGUGACUGGGGCUAA